RNAcentral lists this ribosomal RNA (609 nucleotides) under Triticum aestivum (bread wheat). RNAcentral describes it as "partial small subunit ribosomal RNA". The record is from RNAcentral. Lineage: Eukaryota; Viridiplantae; Streptophyta; Magnoliopsida; Poales; Poaceae.
AUGAAUCCCUCCUCGGCCCCGGGUCCGGACGGCCUUCCGAUGAAAUUCUUCCAGACCUUCUGGAAUGUGAUUAAGCCGGAAAUCAUGGCCAUCUUUGACGAGUUCUACGUUGGGACCAUCGACCUUGGGCACCUCAACUAUGGGAUAAUCUCGCUCAUUCCCAAAGUGCCGGGGGCCUCCGACAUUCGCCAGUUCCGCCCGAUCACGGUGAUCAAUGUGAUCUUCCGGAUUCUGGCAAAGGGGUACGCCAAUAGGGUAACCCUGCUAGCAGACCUCAUUACCCACCCCAACCAGCCCGCCUUCGUGAAAGAGCGGUAUAUCCUGGAUGGGGUAUUAGUUCUCCAUGAAGUCCUCCAUGAGGUGCGGUCUAAACACCUCAAGGCGGUCUUCCUGAAAAUUGACUUUCACAAGGCCUACGACACUGUUAGUUGGUCCUUCCUUCGGGAAGUUUUGCUCCGGAAGGGCUUCGAUGAUCGUUGGAUCACCCGAGUGAUGCAGAUGAUGUCCUGCGGGCGCACUGCCAUGAACAUCAAUGGGGAGAUUGGUCCUUACUUCCCCACCCUCUGUGGGGUUAGACAAGGGUGGUGGACGCGCUUGCCGCCAUCCUAG